CAGCAGCCGCGGUAAUACAGAGGGUGCGAGCGUUAAUCGGAUUUACUGGGCGUAAAGCGUGCGUAGGCGGCUUUUUAAGUCGGAUGUGAAAUCCCUGAGCUUAACUUAGGAAUUGCAUUCGAUACUGGGAAGCUAGAGUAUGGGAGAGGAUGGUAGAAUUCCAGGUGUAGCGGUGAAAUGCGUAGAGAUCUGGAGGAAUACCGAUGGCGAAGGCAGCCAUCUGGCCUAACACUGACGCUGAGGUACGAAAGCGUGGGGAGCAAACAGGAUUAGAUACCCGGGUAGUCCCUGUCUCUUAUAC
Molecule: ribosomal RNA, 301 nt
Filed under: uncultured bacterium
Lineage: Bacteria
Description: partial 16S ribosomal RNA
Rfam family: Bacterial small subunit ribosomal RNA
Source: RNAcentral